Molecule: ribosomal RNA, 513 nt
Filed under: Bacillus cereus
Lineage: Bacteria; Bacillati; Bacillota; Bacilli; Caryophanales; Bacillaceae
Description: bacterial SSU rRNA
Rfam family: Bacterial small subunit ribosomal RNA
Source: RNAcentral
ACGGGUGAGUAACACGUGGGUAACCUGCCCAUAAGACUGGGAUAACUCCGGGAAACCGGGGCUAAUACCGGAUAACAUUUUGAACAGCAUGGUUCAAAAUUGAAAGGCGGCUUCGUGCUGUCAGCUUAUGGGAUAGGACCCGCAACGAUCGCAACCCUUGAGCUUAGUUGCCGUGAGGUAAGUUCGGCUCACCAAGGCAACGAUGCCGGUAGCCGACCUGAGGAGGGUGAUCGGCCACACUGGGACUGAGACACGGCCCAGACUCCUACGGGAGGCAGCAGUAGGGAAUCUUCCGCAAUGGACGAAAGUCUGACGGAGCAACGCCGCGUGAGUGAUGAAGGCUAUUCGGGUCGUAAAACUCUGUUGUUAGGGAAGAACAAGUGCUAGUUGAAUAAGCUGGCACCUUGACGGUACCUGAACCAGAAAGCCACGGCUAACUACGUGCCAGCAUGCCGCGGUGAAUACGUAGGUGGCAAGCGUUAUCCGGAAUUAUUGGGCGUCAAAGCACGAGAG